AUGAAUUCCGUCCUCAACAAUAUCGUUCUAGACAUAUUGUCAUUCUUUCACUUACUGAAAGGGGUUCUUCAGUGUCUGGAUUACUUUAGAUCUAGAUUUUUUUUGCAAUGUGAUAAUGAAUCCAAGAAAUAUCGGCUGGCUAGGUGGACUAUAUUAUGCCGCCCUAAAAGUCGGGUGGGCCUUGGAAUUCAAGAUCUUGAGAUUAAAGACACCACUCUUCUAAAUAAAUGGGUAUACAAAUUACUCAUUGAGAAUAGAGUGCGGCUGGAAAUCAUUCGUAACAAAUACGUGGGGUCCAAAGCCAUUUUUCAAGUUCAUUGGAAACCUGGUGAUUCACAUUUUUGGUAUGGUGUCGUGAAGGCCAAGGAAUUAUUUUUUCAAUUUGGUACUUUCUUAGUUAGGGAUGGUUCUCAGGUUCGAUUUUGGGAAGAUACCUGGCUAGGCGCCACCCCACUUAUGCUAUAG
This 465-nucleotide ribosomal RNA is filed under the name Triticum aestivum (bread wheat). RNAcentral describes it as "partial small subunit ribosomal RNA". The record is from RNAcentral. Lineage: Eukaryota; Viridiplantae; Streptophyta; Magnoliopsida; Poales; Poaceae.